UUAAGAGUAGAGUUAAGAGUAGAGUUAAGAGUAGAGUUAAGAGUAGAGUUAAGAGUAGAGUUAAGAGUAGAGUUAAGAGUAGAGUUAAGAGUAGAGUUAAGAGUAGAGUUAAGAGUAAAACAUAUACUUAAUAUUAAACUGUGUCUUUGUCGUCUCUUCAGUGUUGUGUCUGUCUUGGUUUGAAAAUCCUUGCAUCGUUAAUGUGUUUUGCACUCUCCUGAACAUCAAUGAGCAAGGACAGAGGAAGGGGAGGAAGUAAGACUAAAAAAAGUGUUGCCUUAUUUUAACACAGUCAUUUCAGCUUUACUACCACCUAUGAGUCAAUGGCUGCCAAUGUUUGUGUUGAAAGUUUCUGUAAGUUUAACUCUGGUAUAUUACUGAAGAACGUGCUGCCUGCUGUCAGUGGGCUAACGUAUAAGCCACUCUUCUGGUAAGUACCAGGUAAAGUUGUCAUUUAAAGUAAUGCUAACGUGCACUGUCAGUUAGCAAUUGUUUUGCUAUAUCACAUUACAUCCUUUAUAGUUGUAGUACGGUACAUUCUGAAUACAUCCUAACUAGCCAGCUAGCUCAUGUGAACAUGAAGCAGCACCGCCUUCCAGCUUGGGGAUUCCCACCCCGGUCCGUGGCCAGUGUUCCGCGGAGGGGUUGGUUGCAAAUGAUCCCUUCAGGUUCAUGAGUUGUGUUCAGAUGUGAAAAGAUAAACAUUGAAUUUGAUAGUUAUGUCCUAUUAUACAAGAUAAGACUAAAAUAAUUUGCCGUGCAUAUGGACGCCAUGCAGCCAGAGCAAGAUGAAGAUGGUGUGAGUGUGAAAAAACACAAAUGUGACAAUAUUUGAGGGAUGAGUGGGAAGGAGGGAUAUAUAAGGAGAGGUUCCUCGGAGUGCCGAGAUGUGAUUAGCUGUAAUAAAUCUGGAAUAUGGCUCUAUGAUACAGUUUUUGAUAACACCAGCAUUUGUUUUUGGGCAAAAGCGGCAAGCCGAUCAGAACGGGCCAGAUUUGAUGCUGCAGCUUUUCUUGAAAGACAAAACAAAAUUGAAAAGUGCUGAAGUUUGAAUCACUGUGUGUUUAUUUCAGUUAUUGAUGUUGAUAGGAUUGGUUUCCUCAUACAAAUACAACACACAUGAUGUUUACUUGAAAUGACUGAAAAGUGAUACCAGGACCAGGGGCUCAAUAAGCUGUUCAGUAAUAAGGUGGAUUGUGCUCAGGAUAGAAGCUGCACUUUGUGUUGAAGAAAAGUAUAGAUUUUCAUUUCACAAAAUAUUGUAAUAUUAUAUGACAUUAAUUACAUGACUAAUAAUAUUUUGAGAAGAAAUAUUUUACCAGUAUUAUUUUGCUAUAAUCAUUGCUUCUUACAGUAAAUUAUUCUUGAUGGCCCCCAGUUGGUAAGCCCAUGUAUGUAAAUAUGUGGGUAGGAUGACGGGUUAAAAACCCCCCCGAUUCCCGUGCAGCAUUUGAUCACAGUUGAUCGCAUUCAUGCUGGGAGGAGUCAUCCCGUCUUGGCAGAGUCGCUGCUGAAGCUGUGUGUCAGCUUAUUCUCCAGGUCUCACUAACUUGUGUGGCUCCCCACACUUCUGUCACAGUAGAUAAUCCUGCCUGCUUGCAGCUUAAUCAAUGAAGCGGCUCUUUCCUUGCAUCUAAUUAAUGUAGCAGCUAUUUACUUACAUCUGUCACAGAAGCUGAUGCUCCCUUACAUUAGAUCUAUUACAGUUUUUUAUAAGGUGUUUCCUUUGCUUUUGUCAGCCCUAAUUCCCAAGUUUCUUUUGCAGUUUUUCCUGAUAUCUCUGCCACAGCUUCAGCUGCAUUUUUUGCAGCCUCUCCUACACUGUCUGCUCUGGCUGUAGCUUUGGCUCCUUCAACCUCCCUCCUGUAGCUCCUGCUGCAGCCAAAACCCCCACAGCUACACCCACUAUUCCUACUACUGCUCCUACACCUAAUGCCCCAACUGCCUCAGCUUCUGCAGCUGCUGCCCCUAAUGCCCCAGCUCACUCUCUCUCUUGCUUGUCUCCUGAUCUGACUCCUCUGCUAUAGCGUCUGCUAUUACCUGGAGUGAUUUAUUUGUGUAAUGACAGGGAGUCCUUAUUCCCUGGCCUGCUAUGUAGCUCAAUGGGUUGUUUGAGCAGCUUAAAAGUUGACACCCUUCCAGUCAUGGAACAAGGCUGGACUUUGGACUGUCUCUCCUGUUUGAUUUAAGGUUUUAUUUUAUCCUUUAGUUUUUGGUGAAUCCUGCUUGUGUCUUGUUUUUUCUGUGAUAGCAUAACAUGGCACAGGCAAGGAAAAGAGUAUAAAGUCCAUAAUCCUAGUAUUUCGGUUUUGAUUUAUUUGUCAGGUGAAAGUCUUAUGACCGUAUAUGUGUGUGAGUAAUUUGGUGAUUAUUGGUGGCAGAUUUUUUACUGUGAUCAAGUACCACUACAGACUGUUUUGGAAAGGGGGGGGGGUUAAUUGACAGAGACUGCUGCAUUCACUCACCUGGAGAUAAUGAGACUGAGGUUUUAAUGGGAAGUCUGUCUUUUAUCACGUGUGUAUCUUCCUGGUCAGGAUUGCGAUGUUGAUUGCUGUGUAGACUUUCUUAUUGGUGCCGUGCUGUGAUGAGCUGGAAUGAUUUAUUGCUUUGAGAGCGUAACCUAACUUAUUUCACGUGUGCUGUUUUAUCAGACGCCCUCAGUGUGUGCGGGGGAAUUGUGUGCUGCGAGGCAUCCAACAUGAGCCCAUUGAUUAAUUUACUAAUUGAAUAAUAAAGUAUUGUUAUUGCCUCAGUUUGCCUGAUUUUGAGUGUAGUAAUCUAACCUACUGGACAAGAGCAGGGUAUAAUUAAAGGCGGUUAACCUGUUGUUUACCGAGGUUUAAAUAUCGCCCUCUAGUGGCAAGGAAAAUCUAUUACAGUACAUUAAGUCACGUCAAGCCUUUUCCUUACACAGCCUACAAAAGCCUAAUGAAUCAUACACUACAGUUGUUCCUGAGGAUGUUUUGUAAGGACCAAGUAUAUAAAUUACUGCUGAACUUUUUCACAUACAGAGUAAAGUACUGUCAUAUGGCACAAGAGGCAGGCCAGAUGACCACCUGCUCAUUAUAGAUCUCCAGCUCAGAUACCACCUUCUCAAAAGUCUUCUGCAUAAAAUAGAAAUGGGAUUCAGCGCGACUCCACUAAAUUUGGAUUACCUGGAGUUCCUUUGUCAUCAGGAGCUGUAUCUUCUGCAGGCCCCGUCUAAUCACAUUGAAGUACCUCCUGCUAUCACCCUGGCUUUGCAGGAGCUCUUUGACCUUGCGAGGGCAUAUCUGGAAUGUCCGGCCCCAUGUGUCACACAGGAAGUCACUGCCACCAAUGGACGACCCAAGAUUUUGAUUGAAGAACAACGUUUGAAAGAAAUGUUCCCUACUCAACUUCCUGUGCCUUGCAUAGCCACACUGAUGGGUGUUUCAAGAAGAACAAUAUUAAGAAGAAUGAAAGAGUAUGAGCUCUGUGUUAGGGACACAUAUAAUUCCAUCAGUGAUGAGGAACUUGACAAUUUGGUUUCUUCUGUCAAGAAUGAUCUACCAAAUGCAGGCUACAGAAAGGUCAGAGGGAGGCUGCAGUCAGUGGGCUACAGGGUUCGGUGGAGAAGAGUUGCAGCCUCCAUGCAUAGGGUUGAUUCCAUGGGCAUCAUAUCAAGGUUGUCAAGUCUUGGCUGUGUUGUACCCAGAAUGUACUCUGAACCAGGGCCCUUGUCUCUGGUACAUGUGGACACAAACCACAAGUUGAUGCGAUAUUGUACUUGAAUGUGGCCACAAACACCUGUGCAUCAACUGCAUUUCAGUUCUUCCUGGAUGCAACGCAGCGACAUGGCUUACCCUCAAGGAUUUGGCAGACGCCCUUAGCCAGAGCGACUUACAUACAAUAUAACUUCUUUGAGGGUAGUGUUGAUGUAUCUAAGAGGUUACAGAGCCCGUGAUUUCAGGGUAAGAGCUGACCAGGGAGUGGAGAAUGUGGACAUCGCCCGGUUUAUGUUCACUGUCCGUGGCAAUGAUCAGAACAGCUUCAUCUCAGGAAAAAGUGUGCACAACCAAAGGCUGGAACCACCAUUCACUACGUACUGAGGGAAACUGGAGUCCAGCACAGAUCUGGGAGAUUGCACAAAUGCUAAACACUAAUGUCCAUUCUGAGAACCUUGCAAACCUACAAGAGCCAGACAUCGACUGGGAGACUGUUAUUGACUAUGAUGGCCUUGACUCAGAAACUGGCGUUGUAGUGCCUGAAUAUGAGUGCCCUCUGACUGAGGAGAUGAAUGAAGUUCAAACUUUGGUUGAUCCUACUGACCGAAACAUUACUGAUGAACAUUUACAUUUACAGUAUUUGGCAGACACCCUUAGCCAGAGCGACUUACAUAAGUGCUUUGAGACUCUGCGAUGAAUUUCCGAUGCUAGCUCAAUAAGGUCCCAAGCUACGAAUACCAUCUCUCUGAAAACGACGUUGAGUAGUGCAGAAUUUUUUAUUUAUUUAUUUUUUUAAAAAAAACACACACCAGAAAAAGAGCCAAGUAAGAAUACAGAAGUUCUACGUCAGGUAUUUCUGAAAAAGGAAUGUUUUGAGUCGUCGCUUGAAGACAUUCAAGGAUUCAGCUGUUCGGACAUCUAGGGGGAGUUCAUUCCACCAAUUAGGUGCCAGGACAGACAAGAGCCGAUGUGUGUCGUCCUUGUGCCUUGAGGGGAGGUGGGACCAGUCGGGCAGUGCUGGAGGAUCGGAGAAAUCGUGGUGCAGUGCGGGGUGUGAUGAGGUCCUUUAGGUAGGAUGGUGCCAGAGAAUUUUUGGCUUUGUAUGCGAGCAUCAGUGUUUUGAAUAUGAUGCGGGCAGCUACAGGAAGCCAGUGGAGGGAGGGUUAGGGUUAGAGUGGUGUGGGAGAACUUGGGAAGGUUGAAAACAAGACGAGCAGCUGCAUUCUGAAUCAGUUGGAGGGGACGGAUGGCACUCAGUGGUAAACCCGCUAGAAGCGAGUUGCAGUAGUCAAGGCGUGAGAUGUCGAUGGACUGGACGAGUAUCUGGGUAGCCUGAGUGGAAAGAAAUGGACGUAUCCUCCUGAUGUUAAAGAGGAGAAACCGACAAGAGCGAGAAAGACUGGCGAUAUGUGAGGAAAAUGACAACCGAUCAUCUAAACUGAUCAUCUAAUCUGAACAGCUAUACACUGUUUGCUAUGAGCAUAUAAAACGACUGCAGGCACAAACUUAAAAACCUGCUCAGUUCACUCCCAUUGGACUCCUCACAAACACACACUGCUCCGUUCAGGUCAUCUCUAACUCAUUCACACGCUAAGGAAUUUUGUCUUAUCAGACGAAGUCUGUUAACUUCUGUCUUUGAACAUGUUGUCCUGUUUGAAUUAUUGUACACAUCCUUUGUUUUACAUUUUUAUUUCAUGGCACAAUUAUUCUGAUAGACUGAAAUCCUCAAAAUGCUUCAGAAUCCUUACAGAAAAAGUGUACAUGAAAAACAACAGAAAAAUUACUGAAAAUGCAUUGAAACUGUAUAUACUGCUUAACCAUAAUAAAGUGCUACUAAAAACUCCAAGGUUUUGUUUAUGACAUCGUACAUCCUGUACUUAAUAUUAUGCUCUAAUUUUGCAAUCAAUUUCAGCUUCAUUUGUAAAUCUUUGUACUUGUCAAGUGUAAUGUCUUUAGAAUAGACCUGACCAAUAAGACAAAAAGUGAGCCGGAACAUUCAGUUCCUAACAGCGGCCAAAUUCAUAGCCAUGGACAAUCGCCUUUGAGAUAAUAUUUUUGAAUUCUAUGUAUGUACUCAGGUGUGUUAUUGGGAAUGUGACUGAGCA
Brienomyrus brachyistius is the source of this 5791-nucleotide long non-coding RNA. RefSeq lists it as uncharacterized. The record is from RefSeq and is a predicted model, not a curated record. Lineage: Eukaryota; Metazoa; Chordata; Actinopteri; Osteoglossiformes; Mormyridae. The transcript has 6 exons.